UCAAUAUUUUCUUGCACAAUUAAAGUUUGAUAUCUAGUUUAAAUGAUAUCCAAUAAAAAAAAUUUAAUCUCUAUUGGUCAAUGGUCAUAGGUAAUUAACAUCAAAUAUAUUAGAAACUAACUAGUUAUUUUCUUAUUUAAUAGAAGAUUGUUUUCUUAAAUUCAUAAAAUAAUGUAAUAUUGACUGGAUUAUCAUAAUAAUUAUUUUUACUCCUAUAUAUAGAUUGCAACCAUGGCUAUACAAUUCAUUCAACAUUCUCUUUAUAAUAUAAUAAUUAUCAAGUAGAAAUGGCAAAAGUUUUAGUUUACUACUAUCUCCUUCUUGUCAUCACAUAUUUCUCUGUUCUCAACCCUACUAUUGCUAAGGAAUGUGAUACACCAGUUUAUGACAUACAAUGCAAAGACACCAAGGAUUGUGUGCCAAUUUGUGAUGAGAGAUUUCCUGGUCCAGUAUUUCCCAAAUCUUGUAUGGGGGGUGGUUCAGUUUGUAUUUGUGCCUAUAAUUGUUAAAAAGGCUUAUUUUAAGUGGAUGAAUUAUUCAAAAUAUUAUAAAACUCAUCAUUUAUUUGAUUUAAUAAAUUAUAAGGUUAAUGUUUUAUGAUCAAA
Non-coding RNA from Solanum lycopersicum (tomato), 605 nucleotides. The record is from RefSeq and is a predicted model, not a curated record. NCBI's taxonomy places the organism in Eukaryota, Viridiplantae, Streptophyta, Magnoliopsida, Solanales, Solanaceae.